Molecule: ribosomal RNA, 116 nt
Filed under: Escherichia coli
Lineage: Bacteria; Pseudomonadati; Pseudomonadota; Gammaproteobacteria; Enterobacterales; Enterobacteriaceae
Source: RNAcentral
CGUGGCGGCCGUAGCGCGGUGGUCCCACCUGACCCCAUGCCGAACUCAGAAGUGAAACGCCGUAGCGCCGAUGGUAGUGUGGGGUCUCCCCAUGCGAGAGUAGGGAACUGCCAGGC